UCUCCGUAAACAAGCGGAGGGCAUUUUUAAUAACCCGUCGCAAAGCUGGGCUGCCGGGAUCCGGGGUGGGGGGCUGGAGCACAGCCGAAAGCACCCCCCGGGAGUCAUUCACGGCCGCCGCCGGCGCUGACCACGGCCUUGGCGGAGGAGGUCCGGGUUCAGCCCCAGAGAGGAUCCCUCAUCUGCGGUGAACUGGAAUGCCAGGGGCGACAGCGACGUCAAUUUUCUUCUGCUCCUUCAACCCCUCCCUCAACCGAGGACUUGAAGAUUGAGGAUAUCUCAGUUUUAUAUCCUCCUGCAAAAUGAGACUGCUGGCAAGGAUCCCUAGGCUGGGCUUUGAAGGAAAAAAAAUCUGCGAACAAGUCCCCAAAGCCCAAUCAUCAGUCAUAAUGAAAAAGACCACUUUUGUGGAUGAAAGAACAGUUCAAAUUCUGCAGUCAAGCCUGUGCUUCUGCUGAAGUCACUGCAAGAGUGACAGCUGCAGUAAUGAAUUUCAAUAUGAAGAUUAUAUGAACAUCCCCCCCAUUCCUCAAAGAACUGGCCAAGACUGUCAGGCAUUUUACACAGGCUUGUUUCAGGCAUCAGGUAGCAACUGCUUUUGGUCAUGAGUGGCUUGGAUUGAUAUUGAAAUGUUGAGUAUUUCUAAAGAUUACAAAUCCAUCAUCAACUGGAUCUGAGCAGCUACUUCAAUACUUCCCAGUUCAAGUACGAUAUGCAAAAAGGUGCCCUGGCCUUUAGGCUUUUAAUAACACUUUGUACUUAUAGGAAGGGUUCAAGGACAAAAGAAACUGCCAGGUGUGGAAUGGGAUUGAUUCAGUGACCUCUUGAGGAAUCUCAAGCCACAUAAGUCCACGGGACCAGACGGGCUGCACCCAUGGGUACGAAGAGAGCUGGCUGUCAUCAUUGUGAGGCUGCUCACUAUCAUCUUUGAAAGGUCAUGGAGACUGGGGAGGUCUUCUGUGACUGCAGAAAGGUAGAUGAUGCACCCAUCUUCAGAACGGGCAAGAAGGACAAUCUAGGGAACUACAGAACAAUCAUGGAAUGAGCAAUCUUGGAAGUAAUUUCUGGGCACAGGAAGGAAAAGGUCGUGACUGGGAAUAGCCAGCAUGGAUUUACAAGGGUAAAUCAUGCCAGACCAACCUAUUUGCCUCCUGUGAUGAGAUGACUUCAUCUGUUGAUGAGGGGAAAGCACAGAAUGUUGUCUACCUUUAGAGUCAAUUAGGUAGUGGAACAGAUUACCCAGAGGGGUUGUGCAGUCUCCACAUGGAGGAUUUUAAGACCUGACUGGACAAAGCCAUAAGCAACCUGGGACCUCCCAAAGUCCCUACCACUCUGAAUUAUUUUAUGAUAACUCUCAAGAUGGAUCUUUUCCAUCUUCUCUGUAGAAUUUCCUCCAUGUAAUACAGUUCAUAUCAGUCUGUGUAUUUAAAGUCAGUGCAUGUGCUACUAUUCACCCCACAUACCAGGAAAAUUACUUAAAAGGUUGCCCCCCUAGUUUUAACUAAACAAGAUCUAAGACAAUUUGAGCAAGAACAUCACUAGACGGGAUGUGACAAUAUUUUUUUAUUGUUUUAAUACAAGUGAAUAGAUUAAGAGAUCUGAAAUGUUGUAAAGCAAUAUACAUACUGAAUAAAUAAUAUGCACAGGAGAGUAAUGUCUACAUUAUAACACUGGCUAGUAUUCAGAAUACUUAAAAUAAAUCCAGUGACAUUGGAUAAAGUCCAUAAAAAUGCUAUCCUGUCUUCCCUUGUAUGAAAUUGUUCAAGUAUAAAAAAAUCCAAUACAGUGUAAAAUAUUAAAUUCCAUUUCGGUCAAGAAUAAAAAUUGCAAGUAUUGUAGUUUCACAGGACAAUGUAAAGCAGCAUUUUCUAGCAAAGGGAAAAAUAGUCAGUCUACAUACAC
Molecule: long non-coding RNA, 1902 nt
Organism: Harpia harpyja (harpy eagle)
Lineage: Eukaryota; Metazoa; Chordata; Aves; Accipitriformes; Accipitridae
Exons: 4
Source: RefSeq, a predicted model, not a curated record